UACAGAGGUCUCAAGCGUUGUUCGGAUUCAUUGGGCGUAAAGGGUGCGUAGGCGGCGCGGUAAGUCGGGUGUGAAAUCUCGGGGCUUAACUCCGAAACUGCAUUCGAUACUACCGUGCUUGAGGACUGGAGAGGAGACUGGAAUUUACGGUGUAGCGGUGAAAUGCGUAGAUAUCGUAAGGAAGACCAGUGGCGAAGGCGGGUCUCUGGGCUGACACUGACGCUCAUGCACGAAAGCGUGGGGAGCAAACAGG
Molecule: ribosomal RNA, 253 nt
Filed under: uncultured bacterium
Lineage: Bacteria
Description: partial 16S ribosomal RNA
Rfam family: Bacterial small subunit ribosomal RNA
Source: RNAcentral